GACUCUCGACAUAGGAUAUUUUGGCUCUUGCAUUGAUGAAGAACGUAAGAAAUGUGAUACUUGGUGUGAAUUGCAGAAUCACAUGAACCAUCGAGUCUUUGAACGCAAGUUGCGCCCGAGCCUAUUAGGCCGAGGGCACACGUGCCUAGAUGUUG
Lupinus angustifolius (narrow-leaved blue lupine) is the source of this 155-nucleotide ribosomal RNA. It matches the Rfam family "5.8S ribosomal RNA". From Rfam's summary of the family: 5.8S ribosomal RNA (5.8S rRNA) is a component of the large subunit of the eukaryotic ribosome. It is transcribed by RNA polymerase I as part of the 45S precursor that also contains 18S and 28S rRNA. NCBI's taxonomy places the organism in Eukaryota, Viridiplantae, Streptophyta, Magnoliopsida, Fabales, Fabaceae. The record is from Rfam.